This 714-nucleotide unclassified non-coding RNA is filed under the name Hevea brasiliensis (rubber tree). Lineage: Eukaryota; Viridiplantae; Streptophyta; Magnoliopsida; Malpighiales; Euphorbiaceae. The record is from RNAcentral.
GAAUCCCUUUUCUUUUCUUUUCAAUAUCAUCCCAUCCAUGACUCCAUGCCACCUUAAAUCUCCUAAAAUCUCAUCCUUGACAGGCGUCGACUCCUUUGCCUUUAGCCACACUCUCCUCUAUCCUCACAAAUCCAGCUCUCCCAUUUUUAGAUUCCCUCACGUCAUUCUCUACUCUGCCUAUAACUCGCCUUUUCACUCCUUCCUUAUAACCUUAGUCAUUCUUCACCAAUGCUUUGCAUUCUUUCAUGCCUUUUCAUAGCCUUCAUUUUGCUUAAUAUCUUGAAGCGUUUCAAAUCCUCGCGCUCACAGAUCGUGCUUUGCCUGUUGUGAAGGAAGGUUCUUGAAUCUUCACAUCCACAGAAUCAGCCUCUCUCACCUCUGUUUCUCAAAGUCUCAUACUUGUUCUUCCUCUCACUAGUCGCCCUCCCUCUGCCUUUCUUUUAGUUCUUUAGUAAUUGAAUUUUGUGUUCAUCUGAGUUGAAAUUUAGUUAAUUGAUUUAUAUUCUAAUCAAUUUUGUUAAUUGGACUGAAAUUCAGCCUCCCUCCACCUUUCUCAUCUCAUUCUCUAGCUCUUCAUCUCACUUAGAACUCAUGCAGUUCAAUUCUUCAUUGGUUGAUAUUUUGUCUCAUCCUUUUCACUUGGUUUGUUAUCUGCAUGAAAUUUGUUAACUGGUUUUUGUGGGAUUGAAAUAAUUUUGUUAAUUUAGGUUUGUU